GACGAACGCUGGCGGCGUGCUUAACACAUGCAAGUCGAACGGCAAGGCCCUGCUUUUGUGGGGUGCUCGAGUGGCGAACGGGUGAAUAACACGUGAGUAACCUGCCCUUGACUUUGGGAUAACUUCAGGAAACUGCGGCUAAUACCUGCUAGGAGCUCCUGCUGCCUGGUGGGGGUUGGACCGUUUCUGCGGGUGGGGAUGGACUCGCGGCUGAUCAGCUUGUUGGUGGGGUAGUGGCUAACCAAGGCUUUGACGGGUAGCCGGCCUGAGAGGGGGACCGGCCACAUUGGGACUGCGAGACGGCCCAGACUGCUACGGGAGGCAGCAGGGGGGAAUAUUGCACAAUGGGCGGAAGCCUGAUGAAGCAACGCCGCGUUCGGGAUGAUGGCCUUCGGGUUGUAAACCGCUUUCGCCUGUGACGAAGCGUGAGUGACGGUAAUGGGUAAAGAAGCACCGGCUAACUACGUG
RNAcentral lists this ribosomal RNA (468 nucleotides) under uncultured bacterium. Its description in RNAcentral is "partial 16S ribosomal RNA". It matches the Rfam family "Bacterial small subunit ribosomal RNA", at positions 28 to 507 of the family's 1533-position model. The record is from RNAcentral.